Molecule: ribosomal RNA, 522 nt
Filed under: Clostridioides difficile
Lineage: Bacteria; Bacillati; Bacillota; Clostridia; Peptostreptococcales; Peptostreptococcaceae
Description: partial 23S ribosomal RNA
Rfam family: Bacterial large subunit ribosomal RNA
Source: RNAcentral
UGGUCAAGUUAUUAAGGGUGCAGGGCGGAUGCCUUGGCACUAGGAGCCGAUGAAGGACGUGAUAAGCUGCGAUAAGCUUCGGGGAGUUGCACGUAAACUUUGAUCCGAAGAUUUCCGAAUGAGGAAACUCACUUAGAGUAAUGUCUAAGUAUCAUUAAGUGAAUACAUAGCUUAAUGAGGGGAACUCAGGGAACUGAAACAUCUAAGUACCUGAAGGAAGAGAAAGAAAUUCGAUUCCGUAAGUAGCGGCGAGCGAACGCGGAUUAGCCCAAACUAAUAAAGUUUUCUUUAUUGGGGUUGCGGACAUAUCAUAACGAAGAGGUAUCGUAAUUGAAGAGGUUUGGAAAGACCCACCACAGAAGGUAAUAGUCCUGUAUGUUAAACGAGAAGACUUUAGAUAUGAUCCAGAGUACCACGGGACACGUGAAACCCUGUGGGAAGCAGGAGGGACCACCCUCCAAGGCUAAAUACUACCUAGUGACCGAUAGCGUAUAGUACCGUGAGGGAAAGGUGAAAAGAACC